GACGAACGCUGGCGGCGUGCCUAAUACAUGCAAGUAGAACGCUGAAGGAAGGAGCUUGCUCUUUCUGGAUGAGUUGCGAACGGGUGAGUAACGCGUAGGUAACCUGCCUGGUAGCGGGGGAUAACUAUUGGAAACGAUAGCUAAUACCGCAUAAAAUGGAUUAUCGCAUGAUAAUUCAUUGAAAGGUGCAAAUGCAUCACUACCAGAUGGACCUGCGUUGUAUUAGCUAGUUGGUGGGGUAACGGCUCACCAAGGCGACGAUACAUAGCCGACCUGAGAGGGUGAUCGGCCACACUGGGACUGAGACACGGCCCAGACUCCUACGGGAGGCAGCAGUAGGGAAUCUUCGGCAAUGGACGGAAGUCUGACCGAGCAACGCCGCGUGAGUGAAGAAGGUUUUCGGAUCGUAAAGCUCUGUUGUAAGAGAAGAACGAGUGUGAGAGUGGAAAGUUCACACUG
RNAcentral lists this ribosomal RNA (459 nucleotides) under Streptococcus sp. oral taxon 071. Its description in RNAcentral is "bacterial SSU rRNA". It matches the Rfam family "Bacterial small subunit ribosomal RNA", at positions 28 to 471 of the family's 1533-position model. Lineage: Bacteria; Bacillati; Bacillota; Bacilli; Lactobacillales; Streptococcaceae. The record is from RNAcentral.